AAGGAUCAUUACCGAGUUAAGGGUUUUCUCCCUCCCCCCCUUCCUUUUCUGUCGGUGGGGGGCGGGGGGGGGGACCUGAUCUCUUCUUCACUGUGUUGCAUCGGACCCUGUUGCUUCAGCGGGUGGGGGAGAGAGAGAGAGAGUGAUGCCGUGCUAGCUAGCUCAGCCGGCCGCUUCUCUCUCUCCACCGCCAAUACCCGCUGGAGACUCGUUGAAAUACCGAUAUCGUCAGCAAGAGAGACUGUCUGAGUGAAAAAGCCAAUCAGUUAAGAAAACUUUCAACAAUGGAUCUCUUGGUUCCGGCAUCGAUGAAGAACGCAGCAAAAUGCGAUAAGUAAUGUGAAUUGCAGAAUUCCGUGAAUCAUCGAAUCUUUGAACGCAUAUUGCGCCCUCCGGUAUUCCGGAGGGCAUGCCUGUCCGAGUGUCAUUGCCUUCCCUCCAAGGCCCCUCUUAGAGGCUUUGGAUGUUGGGCCGUUUUGUCCCCUUGCUUCUCCGGGGGGACAGGCCUGAAAGACAGUGGCGAUGCCGUAGUCAACCCCUGAGCGUAUGGGUGUUUUCCGCUCUCUAGGCUUGAUUGGCAUCCGCCGUCCUCCUGCACUGCAUGCAGUGUUUGACUCCAGUGGACCUCGGAUCAGGUAAGGAUNCCCGCUGAACUUAA
This 658-nucleotide ribosomal RNA is filed under the name Elaphomyces sp. 1 RGO-2014. RNAcentral describes it as "eukaryotic LSU rRNA". The stretch from base 274 to 427 matches the Rfam family "5.8S ribosomal RNA". Lineage: Eukaryota; Fungi; Ascomycota; Eurotiomycetes; Eurotiales; Elaphomycetaceae. The record is from RNAcentral.